This is a non-coding RNA of Pantherophis guttatus, 2126 nucleotides long. The record is from RefSeq and is a predicted model, not a curated record. NCBI's taxonomy places the organism in Eukaryota, Metazoa, Chordata, Lepidosauria, Squamata, Colubridae.
AAGCUGCAUCUGCCAGGGCAAAUGUACCUUUCUGUUUAUGCGAUCCAAUGACCCCUAACUGCGUGCUCAGUUUCCCGGCAGAGGGCUGAAAAGUGCCCGAGAACCGCUGGCAGUUUUGCCUGGCAUUCAUUUCGCCUGCAUUUGACCACAGGGUGCAACGGUAAGGCUGGAUUCCAGACUUUGCAUGCCAGACCGAGCCGGUCUCUCUUUGAUCCUAAGUAUAUUUCUCUAGGGCGGGUUUAGCUCAGGAAGAAGGCAGGCGAGAAGAAAAGGGAUCAAAAAACCAGAUCAUGAAUUGGAUUUAGCGAGAGGAGAGAUCCUGGGCCGCUCAAAGAAGCACAUUGUUUGAGCCUAGGCUCUACUACGCAGUGACUCCCACUGCGAAUUAUCAGUGGCCAGAUAUUCUAACCGAAAUUGGGAAGAGUUUAAUCAGCCCGAUGAUUUGGGUUUUGCCCGAAUGGGGUUUGGCUUCCUCUCCCAAACUACAGGAUCGCAAUAGGGCUGUCCGCUUUGAAAAAGAUAGGCUUGCAACAGCCUCCUGGGAAUGCAGACCCGACUUGCUUUCCCCUCCUCCUCCUCUUGAAAGUCAGCAAGUUUCGAAAAGCAGCACAGGGUGUGUGGAUCAUCAUCCUGAGUGCAUUCAAAGCUAAGUCAAGAAGGUAGAAAAAUCCACAGUUGGCGGUUGGAGCUACUAUAAAACACUGCCAGCUUCUGAGAAAUACUCUGAAAUAGAGAUGGAGGACCCUCUUCUCCUGCUAAUUAAGAACGACAACACACUUGGGUUCUGAGCAACCAUCAUUGAAUUUCUCCUAGGUUGCCUCACGACAGGGGUCUGCAACCUUAAACACUCAAAGAGCCAUUUGGACCCAUUUCCCACAGAAAAGAAAACACCGGGAGCCACAAAACCCUUCCCGUGCCUGACUAUUUCUUGAGUGGUCACAAAACUAGCAUAUGUAGUUGAAUUAAAUGUUCUGUUUUCUUCUGAAACUUUUCUUUCCUUGGAUUUAUCCAUGGUUGGCCUACUGGGGGUUGAAAAGCUCAAUAAAUCGCAUGCUGGCGGGUAUCGCACAUUGGCGGUCGUGAUGCAUAUUUUGAGUGACAGGGAGCCACAGCAGAGGGAUGAAAGAGCCACAUGCGGCUUCAGAGCCGCAGGUUGCUGACCCCUGCCCCAGGAGUUACUGGCCGUGGAAACCAUUAGGGGAAACUUCUAGUGACAUUGCAGUUUUGUUUCAACGCCCCUCGCCAACAUCUGUGCCUUUUGUCCUAGUAUUGUUUCAAAGUAUGAAUUAGCUAUUGUGCCAAACUAGGGUGACAGGAUAACAGUAUUCCAGUAUUUGAGGGGCUGCCACAAAGAAGAAGAGGUCAACUUAUUUUCCAAAGCGCCAGAAGGCAGGACAAGAAACAAUGGAUGGAAAUUAAUCAAGGAGAGAAGCAACCUGGAAUUAAAGAGAAACUUCCUAACAGUGAGAACAAUUAACCAGUAGAACAGCUUUUGCCUUCAGAAGUUGUGGGUGCUUCAUCCCUGGAAGUUUUUAAGAAGAAACUGGACAGUCUGAAAUGGGAUAGGGUCUCCUGCUUGAGCGGGGGCUGGACUAGAAGACCUCUGUCAGCCUCCGCUUUUCAUUGCUUGCUUGCUCGGCUGCCAUUGUUUAUUGCCAACGAAUUAUUUAAUUCAUUUUUAAUUUAUUUUAAAUUUUUGUAUUUAUGUGUUUUAUCUUGUGGCUGUUCACUGCCCUGAGUCCUUUGGGAGAAGGGCAGUAUAGAAAUUUAAUAAAAUAAAUAAAUAAAUAAAUUGUAACGGGGGGAGGGGGGAGCUAUUGGAAUGUCUGGGAGAGGGGAAGUGAGCUGGUGGAGAAGAGAAGAGAAAGUUUUCUUCAGUGUUUUCUUUGAAGCUGAUAACUACUCAAGAUCAACCGUCGUGGCAUAGCAGGAGGAUGGCACCAUCAGACGCUGCACCCCACAUGACCCCUGGGGGGAAUGUGGAUUGGCUAAUUCUGGCUGGACAAUUGGGGGAAGGGUUUUGGGGAUGCUUUCUAUAUGUGAUUUUCGCGCCUUUUGCUUCAGACCUUGCUUUUCUUUGGUUGCAUUCAGUUCAUACUCAGUAAAAGUACCUUUCUCUAUGAAAA